UACGGAGGAGGCAAGCGUUAUCCGGCAUUAUUGGGCGUAAAGCGUUCGUAGGUGGUUGACCAAGUCUGCUGUCAAAGGGAGGGACUUAACCUCAUAAUGGCAGUGGAAACUGGAGAGUUAGAGUGCGGUAGGGGUAAGGGGAAUUCCCAGUGUAGCGGUAAAAUGCGUAGAGAUUGGGAAGAACAUCGGUGGCGAAAGCGCGAUACUGGGCCGGAACUAGCACUGAGGGACGAAAGCUAGGGCAGCGAAAGGG
Molecule: ribosomal RNA, 253 nt
Filed under: uncultured bacterium
Lineage: Bacteria
Description: partial 16S ribosomal RNA
Rfam family: Bacterial small subunit ribosomal RNA
Source: RNAcentral